AAGAUAAAAGUAAUAUAUUACCAUCAGUUUCGACCUGAUAUACGGCAGUCCUUAUUUUA
Molecule: transfer RNA, 59 nt
Filed under: Onisimus nanseni
Lineage: Eukaryota; Metazoa; Arthropoda; Malacostraca; Amphipoda; Lysianassidae
Description: tRNA-Arg
Source: RNAcentral